This is a long non-coding RNA of Scylla paramamosain (green mud crab), 4134 nucleotides long. RefSeq lists it as uncharacterized. The transcript is spliced from 5 exons. The record is from RefSeq and is a predicted model, not a curated record. Lineage: Eukaryota; Metazoa; Arthropoda; Malacostraca; Decapoda; Portunidae.
GUUCGAAGCAGCGAGGCGUCCGAACCAUAGUCGGCAGUAGCGAUGGGGAUGGUCUAGUAGUCACGGAGGAACAGGGGUUUGCUGCAAAGGUAGGCGUCGGUGCUCCUGUGGGCGAGGUGGUGUCGGCCAUUUGGGAAGAUAACACUGGUGUCACGCGUGCCUUUAUAGUAUCAACGGAAUAGAGGCAGCUUCGUGGGGCGCUCUGUGCACAGAUUCUGCUGGCGUAUGAAACCACUGCUUAGGACUGAAUGGACGUUAACAGUCAUCCAGUGCGUCAGUGUUUGUGCAGUGUAGCUAUGUACAGUACAUUGUUCUUGCCGUUCCCAAAACCAGCCAGGGAUCCAAGAACUGAGAGACCAAAGGCAGGGUGGGUGGAGCUACAGUGGAACCCCUUGCAUUUCCAUUGGACCAUGGCCACCAGCUCCAAAUCUCCCAUGUCAACAGGCAUGGUACAGUUAUUGCAAGGAACUCCAUUUCAAGGACUAGAGUGUGAAGAAAGAAGAGGCAUGGGCACAGGCAUCAGCCAACUCUAGCCAUGGAUAUUCCAGUCCUUUGAAAAAGUUUCUUGAUGUAAACAUUAAAAUAUGUAACAUAAAGCAUUUCAUCAGCUUCGUAUAGUGCAUAGGUUCUUACAACCAAGGCCAUAAAUAGUGGCAGACUGUAAACAAUAAUAAUGUCGGCAGUUCGAGGUAACCAUCCCAUCAGUAAUAAUAUAACAAUAAAAUGUAUUUCAUUUACCGCAAUGUUAAUAUGUGUAUUUCCCUUCUUUAUAACUUCUUGUAGACGACGAGGAAAUGAGUCAACUAGGCCUCGCAAUUUAUCUUUUGGAAAACUUUCCCACACUUGUUGCAAUGUAGCUUUUGGUCUCAGCAGUGAACUAGUUUCCUUCUUGAUCUCAUUUUUCAGAAAAGACAACAAGUUCUCAAUAGGAUCAAGAUCAAGAUUGUUGACAAGCCAAUCUUUUAUAUAAUCUAGCCCACAAUUGUCAAACCACUUCUUUACUUGCUUGCUGGUGUGGCAGGGAGCCCAUCCUGCAUGAAACAGCCUGCCUUGCACUUCUCAUAACACUCCUCCAAAUUGUUAUAUAACAGUUCUAAAUACUGCUCACUGUUCACUGUUUCUCCCUUUUCAAGAAAGAUUAAAUUGGCAACACCAUAGUAUGUAAUUGCUCCCCAAACCAUAAGUAAAAUCAGGAUGUUUUACUGUUUUUACAGUGUACCAGUCAGAUCCUUUUGGCCUACACACACUUGCAAACUGUGUCUGUCCAAGAUACUGUGAAAAAACUUUCAUCUCUUCACAGUAUGGAAUGUAUUUUCUCUAUGGGCAAUUGAAUGUAUUUCUUCAAGAAACCAAGCCUGUUUGCAACAUGCCACAGACUGAGCAAAGGUUUCCUAGCAGUAGUGUGGGAAGGGAGAUCAAGCUUUCUGACAGUAAUGUGACACUGUCCUUCGAGACACACUGCCCAGAUCUGGAUAAUUUUCUUUUAACUUAUGUGCUGUACAUACAAGCCUAACAUUCAACUUACACUUCAAUACAGUUAAGAGUCCUUUUAUGAACUUUUCAGGCCAAUCAGGUUUUGAUAAGUGGGUUGGUGUUGUAUCUUUGGCAGCCUGGCACUGCUGCAGCCAGCAUUCGACAGUACAUUGAGAUUCAGAAAUUGUGCUUCCUUGAACAACUGUCACCACCCACAACAAAUACAUCACUGACCACUGACCCUCAUAGCCUAGCUGACAGAUCAGGGAGUGGAAAAGUUGGCAAACAGGUAAUUUUUUUUUUAAAUAUGGUCCCACCAGCCAGACAGGAGAGAUAAAAUGACCCUGGUCAAAUGUUGCCGUGCUUUGUGACACCUGCCACUAUUUUAGGUCUCACCUGUAUAGCACCAUGAAUUUACUCCACUACAAGCAAAAGAGAUGUCAACAAAAGAAUGAUUACUGUGAAAAUGGGAAGCAUGCAGGUUGGCCAGCUGUGAGCAUUUUAUUUGGUUGGCCACAAAAGCACUGAAAGAAACUCAUAUACCCAAAAUCUUUAAACUGUUUAUACUGAAACUGCAAAUGUCAAGGAAUGACCACUAAUUUCCUACAUAAAAUUUUCACAUCUAGUUUACCGUUUGGAAUAACAAUAACCACUAACCUAAACCAUAAACAAGAACGACACAAGCAGACUCCAGUCCAGUGGGUGCCGUGUAGAUGGCCGAGACGCGAGGCAGAGUCUGGUUGUAAGUGAUCAUGUCAUGUGGUGAGAUUCGGAGUUCUGGUAUGUAAGGCAUCAGUCCCUCCUCCUGUGGGCCUCCCGUCACUGGCCGCCGUGGAUCCAGGAACCACUUGUUCAUCUGAAGCAUGUAAAGUGAGAAUAUCAUCAACUCUGUCUUUUGCAUGCCAUAUAUCACAUGUUCCAUCUCCUCUAUGCAGAGUAGAUAGUGUGGUUAUUCAAAAUUCCAGGGUCAGUAAUUAUAACAGCUCUGUGGCACUACAAGAUACAAUUUUUAAGGUUUUGUAGACUUUAACAAAAUAUUCUAAGUGAAGCCCUUCCUCUCAUUUAAUUUGAAUAACCUUAUCUUCCCACACAUGACACCUGAUGGCACACCUGGAGCACAUUGCCUGACUGGAGAGCAAACAGGAUGAACUUGGUGGUGAUGCCCUUCUCUGUGGUGGUGUGGGUGGCUGCCUGCACACCCACAGGCAUGAUGUAGGAUUGCCGCUCAAGGAUUGGGGGAGUUGCUCGGCCUCCAAAUGAAGAGAAGGCUGUGGCAUUAGCUUGAUUCAAGCCUUCAAAUAACUCUAAGGAUGUUACCUGUAAAUGUAGAAAUAAUAUUCAUCUACCUUCCAGCAUUUAUCAUAUGAAAAAUACUAAUCAAAUAACUAACAUUACAUUAUAUGGGCACUGUAUAAAACAUUGCAUUACCAGUGACUCACUUCAAAACGACGGUAUUUGUCAUUGAAGAAUGUGUAGACAACCCAAUUUUCAGAGUGGACAAUAUGGAGAGGCCCAGACACCUUCUUAUGCGAGACAGACUCAAUCACAGCUCCAGUCACUGUGUCUAUCAGGUACAGAUUCAUUGUAUCUGAAAUGCACAAAAAGCAAAUUAUUAAACAUUACCAUUUAAUUAACUGAUAAAUGUUUAAAGUUGAAAAAGUAUCACUCAUGGAGCACAGGCUAAUAAGGCCACCCAAUCCCAGGCUUUGCUAGAAGUAGGGUGGCCAUUUCCUUUCUCCACUGCCUUUAGCCUUCCCAGUCCCUGUACCAAGAAAACUCCUGACUGUAUGUCAAGAUCUUUAGGUACUUAAAGAAACACACUUUCCAAUACUUUCCACACACAGAAUACUAAGGAGUAAGAAUUAAUUACAAACAAGUCUCCUAUCUAGAAAAUUUAAAGUGUGGAAACUAAGUGUGCACCUCCUGGUAAGACACUCACUUUUGUUGAUGUGAUCAUAGCCCUGUGUGGUGACCACCGCCAGGUUAGGGUUGACAUACUUGUACAGCACUGAGCGGUCUGCCAACACCCGCCCCGGGGAAUGCACCUUUUCUGCCACUAGUUUACCAUGCACCCCUGUGAUAGGUCCUCCUCCGAGGGAUACUGUCCAAACUUCACUCAGCGUCAACAUCUGCAAGAUAAGGAGAAAAUUAAAGCAUUACUAAAGUACUUGGGUCAUAUGUCAAAUCUAUUAAUGCUUUCAUUUCAAUCUACUCAGGAGAAAUAUGUUGAGUCAAAUGAAAGGUCUUCAUUUACUAUGUAAUUUUCUAAUGACUAAACAAAGGUUAAAGUUCUCAGCUGCAUCUUGGAAGGAAAAAGCAAAGAUGAAUGAACAGUCAGCUGGUGCUCACCCCUGGCCUGGAGAACCUGAGGGUGUAGCCAGUGAGGGUGCUGCUUCCUGCUUGGGCCAAAUGAACAAAGAUGGAGUCCUUGUGCUCCAGGACCACCUUCUCCCCACUGGCUGGGAACAUAUGAGGAUGCAGCUCCUUGUCCACCAACAUGAGAGGCUGCAAGUCAAGACAAUAAGAUUCCCAGACUCUUCUGUCCUGAGCUGAGGCCUCACCUUCAGGUACUGGUCGUCAGGGUAGUGCAUAAGGAAGGCUUGGGAGAGGUGGUAGCCAAGAGGCACUACUCCCCCUCUCUCCCCAAUGGUUGUGCCAGAA